GAAAACCACGGACAAAAUAACAUUUCCAGAGUAUACAGAUUGUCCGAUGUCUUCAACCAGAUACCGAGAAUACCAACCCAUCUCUUCAACAGUCGACCAUUUAACUAAACCAAGAAAGAAGAAACAGUUGUCGCAAAGACUCGACAUAAAGCCAACAAAGGGACCUAACCGACAGUGCAGCUCAAAGUCACUGAACACCCCAUCUCCACCCAAAACAAAAU
Molecule: unclassified non-coding RNA, 221 nt
Filed under: Hevea brasiliensis (rubber tree)
Lineage: Eukaryota; Viridiplantae; Streptophyta; Magnoliopsida; Malpighiales; Euphorbiaceae
Source: RNAcentral